This 474-nucleotide ribosomal RNA is filed under the name uncultured organism. RNAcentral's name for it is "partial 16S ribosomal RNA". It matches the Rfam family "Bacterial small subunit ribosomal RNA", at positions 335 to 800 of the family's 1533-position model. The record is from RNAcentral.
ACUCCUACGGGAGGCAGCAGUGGGGAAUUUUGGACAAUGGGCGAAAGCCUGAUCCAGCAAUGCCGCGUGAGUGAAGAAGGCCUUCGGGUUGUAAAGCUCUUUUGUCAGGGAAGAAACGGUGAGAGCUAAUAUCUUUUGCUAAUGACGGUACCUGAAGAAUAAGCACCGGCUAACUACGUGCCAGCAGCCGCGGUAAUACGUAGGGUGCAAGCGUUAAUCGGAAUUACUGGGCUUAAAGCGUGCGCAGGCGGUUUUGUAAGUCUGAUGUGAAAUCCCCGGGCUCAACCUGGGAAUUGCAUUGGAGACGGCAAGGCUAGAAUCUGGCAGAGGGGGGUAGAAUUCCACGGGUAGCAGUGAAAUGCGUAGAUAUGUGGAGGAACACCGAUGGCGAAGGCAGCCACCUGGGUCAAGAUUGACGCUCAUGCACGAAAGCGUGGGGAGCAAACAGGAUUAGAUACCCCAGUAGUCCCAUGA